UGGGGAAUAUUGCACAAUGGGCGCAAGCCUGAUGCAGCCAUGCCGCGUGUAUGAAGAAGGCCUUCGGGUUGUAAAGUACUUUCAGCGGGGAGGAAGGGAGUAAAGUUAAUACCUUUGCUCAUUGACGUUACCCGCAGAAGAAGCACCGGCUAACUCCGUGCCAGCAGCCGCGGUAAUACGGAGGGUGCAAGCGUUAAUCGGAAUUACUGGGCGUAAAGCGCACGCAGGCGGUUUCUUAAGUCUGAUGUGAAAGCCCCCGGCUCAACCGGGGAUGGUCAUUGGAAACUGGAAGACUUGAGUGCAGAAGAGGGGGGGGGAAUUCCAUGUGUGGCGGUGAAAUGCGUAGAUAUAUGGAGGAACACCAGUGGCGAAGGCGGCUCUCUGGUCUGUAACUGACGCUGAGGCUCGAAAGCGUGGGGAGCAAACAGG
This 429-nucleotide ribosomal RNA is filed under the name Chloroflexota bacterium. RNAcentral describes it as "Chloroflexi bacterium partial 16S ribosomal RNA". It matches the Rfam family "Bacterial small subunit ribosomal RNA", at positions 355 to 776 of the family's 1533-position model. The record is from RNAcentral. Lineage: Bacteria; Bacillati; Chloroflexota.